RNAcentral lists this transfer RNA (100 nucleotides) under Micromonospora sp. MH33. Its description in RNAcentral is "tRNA-Pro". The record is from RNAcentral. Lineage: Bacteria; Bacillati; Actinomycetota; Actinomycetes; Micromonosporales; Micromonosporaceae.
GCGGGCCACCGGAUCGCCGGAGCCGUCCCGGGCCGCCGGGAUCGACCCGGGCCCGGCCGGCCGGGCACCCGACGCCCGGCCCGGCUCCGGCCGGCCCGCG